Lathyrus oleraceus (garden pea) is the source of this 1806-nucleotide long non-coding RNA. RefSeq lists it as uncharacterized. The record is from RefSeq and is a predicted model, not a curated record. NCBI's taxonomy places the organism in Eukaryota, Viridiplantae, Streptophyta, Magnoliopsida, Fabales, Fabaceae. The transcript is spliced from 2 exons.
CUUAAAAAAAGAAAAGAACAAUAGAAAUGAAAAGAGAGAAUACAUUGGUCUAACAUGAACGUGUUUUUUCUCUGAACAAUCGCUUUCUUUCCAAACGCGCGUCUUGUAAACUCUCAAACACAAUUCUUUCCUUCUCAUCUCCCUCACGCGACAACAACAACAACCCACUCGAUGAUUCCAUUUUUCAUGUAAUAACAACAUCAAAAUUCUCAAGCUCACGCUUAGAUUCAAGUUUCAAUUUUUCCGAUUCAGCCAAUGUUUCGGUUCAUGCUCUACGUUUUGGUUCCGGUUCAGGAUGAAAUUAAUGAUGGAGGAGGUUAAGUUUUGGUGCUGAAUUUUCUAUGAUUUGUGUUCAUGGAAAGACUUAGAUUUUCACGGUAGUCGUCAACUCAAGAUGAAAAGCACGACAAAUAUAUAAACAAGCAUGCAAAGAUAACUCAAACAAGCAAGUAGGUAUAUAAGACAUAAGCAAGCAUUCAUGGAGUGAUAAAUAGAGUUUGAGGCUUACCGAUCGGAGACCCUCCGAUGGUUCUUCAAUGGCGGCGCAAAUUCGAUACGGUAAACAAUUCUUUACGUUCGCUUGUUAACUCCUCCAGUUAAAUUCCUCUUCAUUUCUUCUUCACCUCCUUUCUUUUCACCCAUUUGUUUUCUUUUUGUUGUUGAUUUUUUUGGGUGCUUGAAUCAUGAAAAACUAUUAUGUGAAGAGUGGUGAAGGUUUAUGCUCAAGUUGAUUGAAGCUUCAAUGAGAAGCUUCAACAACUAUGAAUUUGAGCUCUAGUGAGGGAAGGUUGAAAAAUGAAGAACGGAGAGUUAAAACUUGAGAGAAAAUGAAGAAUGAGUGUAAUCAAAAAGUGAAGAAGAAGCCUAGUGAGUGAAUGAUUAAUGUUUAUAUAGACUAGGUGAGGGAUGACUAGAGGUUGAAAAUCAGUUAGAAAAUUGUUGGGGUUGUUUUGGGCACUUUGGACAAUUGCCCAAAGUAGUUAGAAGUUAGUUUGUGGAAGUUUAAGGUAGUUAGGGUGGUUAAGGCAUGGAUGUAUGUGAAUUCACAUGCAUGUGCAUAUGCUGAAUUUUUAGUGAAUAUGAAGGAAAUUAGAUGAAUUUAUAUGGCACCACUUGAAUACAUUCUUGACCAUUUACAUGGUAUGCAUGAAUGAAUUAUAUAUGCAUUUGGAUUGAUGUUCAUGGAUGAAAUGAUGUAUUACAUGCAUGCUGAAUUUUUCUUUUUAAUGCCCAUGAUUUAUGAGUUUUUACUUGUUGUAUAGAAAUGAAAUGAAAGUGACACAUAAUACGGAAUUUAUUCAUGGUAUAUGCAUUACAUGCAGAAUUUUUAUUGAAUUAGUAUUGAAUUUGACUUUUUUGGAUGGUUUUGCAUAUGAUGUAAGUAUGUGUUCAUGUGUUGAAUUUUAGAGAUGAAUGAUAUGAAUUUAAGAUGACUUUUCAUGUGUAUUUUGAUGCUCAUGAUGCUGAAUUUUUGUUUUGUAAGUGCUGAAUUUUAAUUCCUAACUUAUUUUUAUUGUUUUCUUUGAAACAUGGUGCAUGGUAAUGGAGCAUGAACAAGCAUGGUCAAGAAUGGAGUAUGAAUGAAGACUAUUGAAGAGCUUGGAAUCAUUUUUAUUCCUUUGUAAUAUGUUUGUAAUGACAUAAAGUGAUGUAAAGUGAAGUCAUAUAAUUGUAAAAAUAAUAUUUAGUGACUUUUGAACCUUAUGCACAUGAAUUGAAAGGCUGUGAAUAAAAAGAGGGUUUUUUAGCUCAAAGUGUAUGUAUGGAAAUGAUUUCCAAUAAAUGCUUAGAGAAUUUACCCAUGAA